This 464-nucleotide ribosomal RNA is filed under the name uncultured Comamonadaceae bacterium. RNAcentral's name for it is "partial 16S ribosomal RNA". It matches the Rfam family "Bacterial small subunit ribosomal RNA", at positions 338 to 794 of the family's 1533-position model. Lineage: Bacteria; Pseudomonadati; Pseudomonadota; Betaproteobacteria; Burkholderiales; Comamonadaceae. The record is from RNAcentral.
CCUACGGGAGGCAGCAGUGGGGAAUUUUGGACAAUGGGCGCAAGCCUGAUCCAGCAAUGCCGCGUGCAGGAUGAAGGCCUUCGGGUUGUAAACUGCUUUUGUACGGAACGAAAAGGCUCUGGCUAAUACCUGGGGCUGAUGACGGUACCGUAAGAAUAAGCACCGGCUAACUACGUGCCAGCAGCCGCGGUAAUACGUAGGGUGCGAGCGUUAAUCGGAAUUACUGGGCGUAAAGCGUGCGCAGGCGGUUUGGUAAGACGGGGGUAAAAUCCCCGGGCUUAACCUGGGAACUGCCUUUGUGACUGCAAGGCUGGAGUACGGCAGAGGGGGAUGAAAUUCCGCGUGUAGCAGUGAAAUGCGUAGAUAUGCGGAGGAACACCGAGGGCGAAGGCAGUCCCCUGGGCCUGUACUGACGCUCAGGCACGAAAGCGUGGGGAGCAAACAGGAUUAGAUCCCCCGGUAGU